This 255-nucleotide ribosomal RNA is filed under the name uncultured bacterium. Its description in RNAcentral is "partial 16S ribosomal RNA". It matches the Rfam family "Bacterial small subunit ribosomal RNA", at positions 524 to 776 of the family's 1533-position model. The record is from RNAcentral.
GACGAACCGUGCGAACGUUAUUCGGAAUUACUGGGCUUAAAGCGCGUGUAGGCGGGCCGGCACGUCCGUGGCUGAAAGCCCCCCGGCUCAACCGGGGAAGUGGCGCGGAUACGACCGGCCUCGAGGGGGGUAGGGGGACCUGGAACUUCCGGUGGAGCGGUGAAAUGCGUUGAGAUCGGAAGGAACGCCCGUGGCGAAAGCGAGGUCCUGGACCCUUUCUGACGCUGAGACGCGAAAGCCAGGGGAGCGAACGGG